CCUACGGGUGGCAGCAGUGGGGAAUAUUGGACAAUGGGCGAAAGCCUGAUCCAGCCAUGCCGCGUGUGUGAAGAAGGCCUUCGGGUUGUAAAGCACUUUCAGUGGGGAAGAAAGCCUUGGGGCUAAUACCCUCGAGGAAGGACAUCACCCACAGAAGAAGCACCGGCUAACUCCGUGCCAGCAGCCGCGGUAAUACGGAGGGUGCGAGCGUUAAUCGGAAUUACUGGGCGUAAAGCGCGCGUAGGCGGUCUGAUAAGCCGGUUGUGAAAGCCCCGGGCUCAACCUGGGAACGGCAUCCGGAACUGGCAGGCUAGAGUGCAGGAGAGGAAGGUAGAAUUCCCGGUGUAGCGGUGAAAUGCGUAGAGAUCGGGAGGAAUACCAGUGGCGAAGGCGGCCUUCUGGACUGACACUGACGCUGAGGUGCGAAAGCGUGGGUAGCAAACAGGAUUAGAUACCCUUGUAGUC
RNAcentral lists this ribosomal RNA (465 nucleotides) under Vreelandella stevensii. Its description in RNAcentral is "partial 16S ribosomal RNA". It matches the Rfam family "Bacterial small subunit ribosomal RNA", at positions 338 to 795 of the family's 1533-position model. Lineage: Bacteria; Pseudomonadati; Pseudomonadota; Gammaproteobacteria; Oceanospirillales; Halomonadaceae. The record is from RNAcentral.